Molecule: ribosomal RNA, 112 nt
Filed under: Rhododendron griersonianum
Lineage: Eukaryota; Viridiplantae; Streptophyta; Magnoliopsida; Ericales; Ericaceae
Source: RNAcentral
UGCGAUCAUACCAGCACUAAUGCACCGGAUCCCAUCAGAACUCCGCAGUUAAGCGUGCUUGGGCGAGAGUAGUACUAGGAUGGGUGACCCCCUGGGAAGUCCUCGUGUCGCA